AUAAUCGCUAGAAGGGCACAAGGGAAAUGAACCACAAAGUAGACAGAGGUGCUACCUAUCAUCUAUCACAUAUACCUUAUUGUCUUUUCUUUGCAUGGUAGGAGCCAAAUCCUGCUGAUGCGCAGAUUUCUUCCUGCAGGAUGGGUUGUUCUGACUGCUCAUGGACCUCUGAGGAAGUGCCUGCACCUUCCAAAAUCCACGAAGGACCAGGACCUCUGCAUAACAGCCUAAUCUCACUGCUGGGGAGUGUGUCUAGCACUCCUGGGAAUUGAUUCAAGUUGACGAGUUAGGAACAUUCAUAUCUCAGCACUCAGAUUUCUCAUCUGGAGGUCAUCUCCACAAUCACAAAUUCCAAAAAUAGAAAAUGGCAGUUCUUCGUGCUUGCCAGUUUUUAAAUGUGGGAGUUUCACAUUUUCAGGUUGUUUCCCUGCAACUUUGAAAAGGCUUGAAACAGACUUCUUAAGAAAAAGCCACACCGUGCCUCCUUCCCCACCCCUGCUUGAACGGUGGAGACCACUGUUUAAUCUGUUGAGUCCAAAACUUCAGGUAGUCUGAGGUGUGAGAAAGUGAUGUGAAGUGCCUGUGCUGGUGGAUGUCUGACAAAAGCGAACAACCCUGUUUUACUCCAAGAGUGUGGAAAGGUAAGAAAACAAGGAGGCUGAACUGGUUUCAUUUCAAGGUUUUGUCAGGGAAGUGUAUUGGACUUCAUACGUCUACUACUGAGGGCUUUAAGCUUCUAAUCCCGGGGAAUCUGAUUUCUGGAAAAUAUGGUGAUAAGGAUGGAAAGGAGGAAGACUCUUCACCAAGUAAGGUGUUGCUCCGUGAAUGGAAUAUGAAUACAGCCAGAGUCUGUAGUGACCCAACAAGGAAAUUAAUCCACUGUGAGACUUCACACGAGCACAGCAGCCCUGCUGACUGCAGUACACAGAUGGAGUCUGCAAGUCUAAGAGCUCCCAAUGCAAGAGGCAUGGGUUUGACCCCACCUUCAAUAGCAGACAAGCUCAGCAAGGUAGAAAUGAAACACAUUGUGAAUCCUUUCAGUGACUUCAUGUCACCUUGGCCUAACCCAGUUCCCAAAAGGACAUCAUCAAUUAAUUGCUGUGAUGCUGCUAAGUUGCACUAUGCAGUCCUGACUUACUUUCUUCCCAAGCACAGCUGUAUUGGUAAGUUGAGUGUUUCUGUCCCUUGUGCUGCUAUCAGCUGCAGAAGAGUGUGCUCCUAGUUCCCAGCCAGAAGGCUAUGCAGAUCCCAUGGUCAAACUGGGCUGCAGCUAUUAUAGAAGGGAUCUGGCUCCCUUGCCCUCUACCUACAGCUUAAAAGUGCUGCCCGGGCGCACAGGCUCAACCCCAGGGACAUGGGUCUGUCUUGCUCCCUGCUGUUCAUGCCACCAGCUGCCAGCUAGACCCAAGCACACCUCUCUGCACAGCUGGUAUUGCUGGCGACUGCAUUUACCCGACCACAGCUCAGGAGCAAAGGGAGACGACGACAGUUGCUGUUACUACAGAGAAAGACCCAGCAGGUGCCGCAGAGCAGCACUUGCUGUCAGGCAAUUUGUCACUGGUUUUGAGUACGAAAUCUGUAUGUACUUUGUAUUUAGCAACUUUCCUCUCAAGCUUUUGCUGCCUGCAAAGAAAAUGAAGAAAUACCCAAGACUAUUUUAGAAGGGUUAGUACAAACAGUGAGAAUGAAGUAUAUUGUUAAAGGGAUCCUUUGCUGUUAACGGGAUCUUUUCGUGUUAAAGGGACCCUUUGGUGUGAAAGGAGCUUUCAAUUGUGUUAUGCCACAUGAAGAAGAUUUCAAUAAUGUUGGAGAAGUAUAUAAAAGCAACUGUCCUUUGAGGUGGAAAUCUGACAAUUCUGACAGUUCAGCCUCCCAAUUGCAUCCUGAAAUAAGAAGAAUGCUAAUAAUUAUAAUACUUAAUAAUAGCAAGUACUAACAUCCUGUGGUACUAGACAUUAACGAGAUCUACUCCCAAAUACUGUGUGCACUGUUCAUGAAAGGCAACCUCAGACUAGACAGGUGCAGCCAGGAAGAGCUGAGCAGAGCAGGGGCACUGGGAGCCGGUCUGGGAGAAGGGGGACUUGGCUGGCUUAACAUUGGCGAGAAAGUAUCCCAGAGUGGAUACCAGUGCUUUCUAUAAAUAAAGCAAGGGCAUAACACGGGGGAGAAUGAAGAGCCACUUAAGCUAAAGGACAGAGCUGGCAGCAAAAGAAAUAAAGGGUCAUGAGUCAAUUACAAGAAAGUUUGUAAUCAGAGGAGAGAGGUCUUGAGCAAUGCAUCACUGGGUGUAAUGGGAGCUGGGGCUAGAGCCACGCUGGACACUGUCCCUUUGCAUGCUGCCAUUGCAGGCUACAGCCUCUUGAAAGCCCUCGAAUGCUGGAGGUGCCUAAAUCACGUAGCACUUUCCCAUAGGCAUUGAGAGUCUCCAGGGAGCUGCAAGCUCUGCGUCUCCACACGCUGAGCAGCUUCAUGCUUUUGCUCAUACCUGAGUCCCAGCAGAUGCGGCUGACCACCAGCUGAUGUCCUAGGGGUUAAACGUGGAGGGCCCCUCACUGUGAGGCUGCAUCAGUCUGUGAGGUCCAAGCCUCUAGUAAUAUUCAUUGAGAGCCAUAUUUCAAACAUGACUAGAGGAGGGGGAGGCAGCGCUCCACUACCCACAUGUUUGCACAGCUUCUUGCCGACAACCAGGGUAGAUAACAGGGGUUAAUCCCCACUGACUGCAGAAGGAACGUGAGCUCCCAAAUCUCAAGUCCCCUUUGGCUAUAAAUCAGGAUUUGCACUGCCCAGCUCAGCAGUUCUUGCAGCCCCUUACUGUGUCUAGCCCAGAUUUCCUUGCUCAUUUUUUGAUGGGUCUUAUUAUACUCUGAAGAAGGAUUGUACAUAAUGCUUACUAACAAUAGCAAGGGACGAGGCCUGAAGAUGCAAUAGGUCCCUUUUAGUGCCUUGCUUCUAUUACCAAUACUGUGCUAUCUUGCUAAUUUGUUUUAUUAAGUGAAUCAUUGGAAUAGUGGAGAUGCAUGGAGUUGGAUGAGAGCGUGUGCAGACAGAGGCAGCCCUGUGUUACACAAUCUGAUAUUGUGGCAGGGGGAACUUAGCCCUUACCUGACUCAAUUUUUCAAUCUCUGCUACCAGUUUAUUUUUCUCUCAGUCAUUUCAUUUAACUCUACUUCUGCUUGGUAGUUUGGAUUGCUCGUUUUCUCUUCACACCAUUAGCCUUAAAAACAUAACAAACUUUAGAGUUUGAUUCCUGUUCAGGCACAAAAGAAACGAAAUGAUGCAUUUAACAGGUGGAUGAAGCUCUCCAUUUAGGGACAUGGUAAACUGCUGGAUUACGCAGUGUCCUGGGUAGAUUUAUUAGCUCCCAGCAGAUCAAGUCCCAAGCAACUGAAGUGUCCACACUAGGAAUGGAGCGUGGGAUAAGACACUCAUGUCCCCAGUAACUGCCCCCAGUGUCAUUGCUGAACCCAAGUCAAAAUAUUUUACAGCACAAGCAAAGACCCAGGCUUCAGUCUAUGCAGGCUGCAGCAGUGACUCACAGGUCAUGGUAAGAUGUGAAAGUCACUCCUGCCACUGCAUGAGGGAUGUGCACUUGUGAGAAAGGGAAGGAGGCAGUGAGCACACUGUAGUGUCAAGCCUUUCUCCAAUGGACUAUGCCUGUUGCUUAAAUUUCCUACCGAUUGCAAUGUGUUUGAAUGUGCAAAUGCUCCCUGUGAACAGCCAGAAGAGAGUCACUGAGGGAUGAAGCAAGACUAAGCCCUGAUGCCAGGGCUCUCCUAGCACAGAGUGAGAAGGAUGCUUACAUCUUGUGCUUGGCGGCCAGCUCUGCUCUCCGCUGGGACACAGCUUCCAUCCUCACUUUAAUUUCUUGCCUCUUGGCAACAAGCUCUGCUGUGACAUGAUUGACUUUGACCUCUCUUUAGAAGUGGAGUCUUCUGGAGCGUGUUGGCACUGCUUUCCAGCGUCUUGCUGGGGCCCAACCAACAGAACUGGCUUUGCAAGUCAGUAAAGACACAUAGCAAAUCCUCUUGUGCUUGCAUAACGCCAGGUCAGAGUACAAUAACUCUUUGUCCUAAAGCUGGCCAAAAUGUCAGAUUCCACCCUCUCACCCUCAUAGUACAUGCAUACACUUUAUGUGGUGACCCCAAACCUAAGCAGGAGUGCAACAGUUUAAGAAGUUCCCAUUUUGUCAAAGUAAACUAUGAGACUUUGUUUGGCCAUGCUAGGAGCCACCAUGACCCAAGGUCCCAUCCUGCCACAGCACCCAAAGGCAUACAGUGGCAAGAAACCCUUUGAUCAGGCAUGCAGCUAAGCAGCAGCAAAGGGGACGGUGGUGGGCUGGGCUGUACUUGUACCAUUAUGACCAGUGAGGCUGGUGGGACACUGCCACGUGGGUCUGAGCAGCCCUCGGAGUCUCUGACAUCCAUGGAGCUGACUAGGUCAAGCUGGGAAAUGCCCAGGCCGUAGCCAAGCCUCACUCAGUGCUGUCUUUAUGCUGGUUUUGGUGCACAUUGGUUUAAAUGAAUAGUAAAUUGUCACACGCUGGCCAGUGUGGGAUGAACUUGCUAGAUAUGGGCCUAACCUCCAGAAAGAUCUAACCUUGUGUGGGGCUUUUAACAGGGUAGAGGGCAUCCUGGUUAUCUCUAGGCAUGUUGAGGAGGUGCUAAAGUUAGAAUAUUAACCAACUCUGAAGCUGAUGAACAAAAAUAAACAGCCUGAGAGGUCACAGAAUCACAGAAUGGUCAGGGUUGGAAGGGACCUCUGGAGACCUUCUAGUCCAACCCCCUGCUAAAGCCAGUGCAGCCCGCCCAAGCUCUGCAAUGCCCAAGGAGGUACCAUAUCUCUUGCUCAUGAUUCAGGGGAGCGUAAGGUGGUAAGAUGGUGGAGCAUCACUCAGUGCCUACAGAUACACAGGACAAAUCUGGCCAGAGAAGCUGGGCAGGUGCCAAGGCAUGUCCCGCUUUCUGCACGGAGAAGAAAGUGCAUGAGGUAGGACUUGAAACAUGUCAUGAACCAAGCAGGAGCUGUGCAUAACUACAGAUGCUAUUGUUGAAGACUUGGUAUUAAGAUUUAUUUCCUUAAUACAUUAUAUGUCUUUUCUUUGGUUGCACUCCUGAUUUUUACCUUUUUCUGAAAAUGAAUAAAUGCUUUUGGGUUAUUGUAUGUAUAAAAAGAUGCAUAAUUUUUCUGAUGCAUAAUUUUGUCUGAGGGAAGCCCCUGUAUAAUAAUGUGGUGCAGCUCAAAUUUGAAUAGACCCUUUGAAUCUACCGUAUGCUUGGCUUCCUGCACUCACGACACCACCUCACCUCGGCUGUCGAUACACCGCACUAAGGUAAUUUUCCUGAAGAACAGAGUGCCAUGCACUCCCUUCUCUAGGGGCCCAAACUUGGAUCCAAACGAUAACAGAAAUAGCUGAAAACACCUGGGGUGAGCUUAGCUGACACAUGCACUGUCCACUGAGGGCAGAGUUAAGGGUUUGCUUUGAUUUAAGGAGAGAAUGCCAUUCCCUGAGAUUCUCUGACAUACACAAGAAUAGGCAAAGAGAUUUAUCCAACCUCAUAGAUGUUGGGGACGUGAGUGACACCUGUCUUCUUCUUCUCUGGAAAAAUACACAAUAAUCAAAGGAACCAAAGCAUCACCCAAAGCAUGGGUUUCUUACUUGGUGUUCUCUUGCCUGUACAUGGUGAAAUGGCCUUUGACUUCAGGAGGUGUUUUGCCCUUAGAAAAGAGUCCAUAAUGUUCUGACCUUCUCUGUGUAGAGCUGUUAAAGAACAGUUACCCAAGGAUAUGCAGAAAAGCUGAGUGGCAUGCAGGACUGUAAGUCUUUCUGGCUUUAUACCUGCACUAUGAGAGCAAGGAGAGCAAGACCCAUCCCUCGUCUCUCAGAGAGGGCUGGACAUAACCAUUUCUUCCCCCCUCCCCUGGGGACCAGAGGAAGGGACUGACCAUAUGUUAGUACUGAUGAUGCUGUCUAUCCCCUAGACCAUGCAGGGCACAUUUUUAGCUUGCCUUGGUUAUCUUCACUCCAGACUUGGACUCUCUCUGCUGGCAGGUAACACCACCAAUGUAGGACAAGGUGUUUGCAUCAGCCAGAAAAUUUCUCAAUUGAGAUGUUUUCAAAAAAUUAGCAUUGCUUAUUUGCCAGCAAAGAUUGACCAGCCAACAACUUUCAUCAGAUAUCUUUUGAUAAUAUUCCUGGUUAGUGAUUUUCUUUUGAGGCACAACUGUUUAUUUCUUUGGCCAAUUCAUAAGCUCGGUGAAGCUGAUGUAUGUUGAAAGGGAACCAGUUGUAUUCAUUGGUGUUAUAAUCAGGGGAGUUAGAAGAGCUGAGGGCAGGAUGCAUCUUGUCUCCAAUAGAUUUGUCCGUAGCAUACUAAAUGCAGUGAUGGUUUGAAAAGUUCUUUAAAAAUUUAUGGACUGAUGACAAGGGAAGUUUAAUAUUCUGAUUUUUACUCAGCUUGAUUGGUUUCAAAAACAAUUACACUACUUGGAAAAUUAUAUUUUAUGAAGCAAGGUCACUUCUGUCUGUCAUUUUCAUGAUUUCAACAUUUCUUUCAGGUUAAUAUUAAGUUAAACGAAAAUGUAAUAAGAAACCUGAUGUAUUUUAUUAGAUUUUGCUUUUUAAAGAAAGGGUACACUGCAUGUUAACAAAGAUCAAGAAUUUGCUUUUUGAAUCAGACCUUGUAUGAGAAAUACCAGCUUGCAGUGAUACGAUCUUUUCCCUAAUAUGUUUCUUAAGCCUGAUAAUAGUAAGGAUAUGUGGUGCGCUGCCAUGGCAUAUAAUGACACGGCUCUGCUCAGCAGUGCAUGAUAGCAAAGAUGAGAAAGGGUUGAGUUAAGACAAAGAAAAGAGUUUCUGUCAUUGGUCUGGCAACCCCAAAGGGGUUUUGGUCACAGUGUUUACAGAGACGAUUGUACUUUGAAAUCUUCUACGUACAAAAUGAAUGGGUGUUUUUAUAAAUAUAUGUAUCUGUAUGAGCAGGGCUCCUUAUGAGGACAAAGUGGACUAAAUACAGACUGGGGGAACAUAAAACAGACCUGUUCAGCUUCUUGACAAGCUGGUGCAAAGAUUAUGCUUUAGCACUGCACUCAGGGGCCAGGCAGCAGUCACUUUGCAUCAUAUUGCACAACGGAGAAAGGAUUCAGGAGGCAGGCAGGUUUUCCAACAGGAAAAUUCAACCUAGAAAUUACCAGCAUGACAGCCUUUGUAUUGCAUUUCUGUUUUAAGUUUAACAUCAAUGUUUAACGCUGAAGAUUUGAAAUUUUAUAAAUCUGCAAGCCCAGAUCCUGAUAGGCAAGACUGAUAUAUAUUUAUCAGUAUGAUUCAGAGCAUGAUGGUCUCUGGGAUGGAUCCUUCUGGAUGGAUGGAUGCUAAACAGCUCCUGAGGAUUUUCUUCAGAUGAAAUGUUUGUCCUGACACCUCUGCAGAGAUUGUUUCAGUGGACACAACUGUUGAAAUCUUGGAGAAAGUACCUGUUCUCAUAGGUUUUACAAAUGAGAAAAUGAGAUAUGGUCCCAGCUACUGAUUUUCCACUGGGCACGCAAUAAGCAUGGUGGGUAUGGGGUGAAAAAUGAGGCUUCUCUUCCAGGAUUAGUCCCAUACAAAAUGCCUUAAGUGAUAUUAUGCAUUUGAUUUGUUUAUGGUUAUAAGUUUUGGAAGUCUAGAGUCUUUUUUUACAGGAGGUGGAGAUCUUUAAGGGCAAGCUGCAGAAGAAUGGUCUUGAAAUGGGCGAAACUAAUGGGCAUGUCUGGUAUGUGGCUGAUCCUUCUGAAGAUAUGCUUUAUUGGAAAGAAAUGCUGCCAACACCCAUAGGAAGGACUGUGCCCUUGGAUCUUUUGCACCAUUUUGAGAAGGCUGAUGGGGCAAGUCAGCUAGACAUAGACAGCUGAUCAAGUAGGUUUGAGUGGCAGUUCAGGUAAAGCAGGUCAACGUAUGUAUGUGUCAGAGCUCUGCAGUAUGUAAAUAGAUACCACGGUGGUGGGCACAUUACAGUUGAGGGAUAGAUUACAUGGACUCACGUGUGAGCAGCAGCUGCACAUACUUAGUUUCUCAGAUCUGUCCUAGGCUUUUCUGGGGCUGAAUGAACCAGUUGUGCACAUAUGUGUCAUAUUAUGCAUGGUGGUGUUCUGUCUUUUUAUUUUUAUUGACGCCAUAUUAUCUGUUAUAAAUUCUGAUUUUGCAAUGAUGAAUCAUCUCACUGCCUUCUACAGUCUCCCUUCCCCAUGUUGCAUGACUAAUUUAAAUUCAGGCAGUGCCUACUGAGAUCGUCCCAGUUUGUUUUUAUUUUCUGGGAUGACACCUUUAAAUGCACAGCACUUAGUUUACAGAUAGAGCUGUUUUAUGUGUACAGAAAAGUUACUACUCAAUUAUUCUUCCUUUUUAUCCUAAAUUCAUUAAAACACUGCUAUUUCUGAGAUUCUCCAACCACCAUGUUCCCCAUAAAGUUUUCUUCUUUUAUAUUCAAGAGUAUGGUGGGAUUUGAAGUCACCUACCUGCACUGACCCAACUGGGUCAGCAAAACAAGUUAGGCUGACUUUUGCUGUUCUGCAGCUGCAGCAAAUGCCUCAUUUGAGAUUGCUGGGGACCCCCAGUUUCUCAUGAUGGGUUGGAAGCACAGCAGGAAUCUUUCUCAACAUGCAAGUUCUCUAUGUACUAAGUCACACGUAUUUUGAUGACUUCUGCAAAAGGAUGGAACAGAGCUGGGGGGAAAAGUUUUUAACAGCCUCUGCCUGCUUCAACACAACCCAGCUGCCUUUGUCUUAUUUGUACCAAACUAUGAUUUGGAGCAAUAUAAAUUUCUAGAUGGAUGCGAAUCUGCUGUCAACCUCCACUGAGCAGAGGGGGACCUGUGGGGAGUGGCGUUCCCAGCCAUGGCUGCAGCCCCUGUUCCCCUGGCAGCCUUGGCCAUGGUGAGGCAGGUGAUCAUGGGCCUCGAGGCUUGCCUUGGCAAAUAUUUCUUCUGCAUGCCGCUAUGCAGAGACCUGACAAGUCAUGUUAACACCCUUACCUGGGUAAAUGUCCCUUCCUUGCCAUGCAUAACACCUUGGAGAAAAUUUCAGCCUGAAAGCUUCAAAAUCAAUUGUAACAAAUUCAAUACAAUCUAUUCCCAGGAAGCCUCCAAGUGCAAAUGAUGCAAACAGAAUUGAAGGGUUACAGGGUUAGAUUUCUUUUAUUUUUCAGAAGCUUUUUGACUUACUUGGUGCUGUCCUUUUUCACACACAGUUCCCAGUCCUUUCUUUGUAUCUCUGUGUGUGUGUGUGCACAUCUACUGCAGCACAUGCAGAGACAGACAAAUAUUAUCUUUUUUAUCUUCCUCCAAACUACAGUCCUCUCAGCGAAGAGGUUUGAUUUGCACAGUGAAGUGUGUUCUUACUUUACAGAAUAAGCAAAAGAGGUACAGACCCAUGCUUAUAUCUGGAUUAUGCCAUUUUAGUUAUAUGUAAUUUUAGCUUUCUUUUUAUGUAAUUUAUUUUGGUUUUCUGCUACUAUGAAUAUUGUGCUGCUAAUUUGUAUUAUGACUUUUCCCUGAGGAUGCUUAGCCAGUACAGAACUCCGACCUGUCCACCCACAAUGUUGAAGACAUAUACUUCCUAAGACAAACCAGAGAAACUUUUUUUUCUGCUUGCUCCAAGUCAGCCUAACCAUCUGCAUAAUGAGCGCCUCUUUUUUAUAUUUCAUUGAUGCUGUGCUCAGACAGUGGUGGAUUCUGUGCACAAGUACAUCAUCAGGUCCUUUCCAGGUCUAUUUGCAGCUGUGGUUGUCCGAAAGUUACCCUGAGCCAUAUGGCAUCAGCAGAGAGCUUUUCACUCCUCUCCAAUGAGCCUGAAGUCUUACUGUUUGUUUCUUACCAGACAUAAGCUAUCACCCUGGAGCUCAAAAAAAGGAAAAGUGUUAAUGUGUCAUGCGAACGUCAUAUGGCAAGUCAGUGUAUGCCAUUUGCAUGCCACAUUGUUUCACAGAUCUGAUACACAAUUUUUAAAAUCUCAUGAUGGAUCAUACACGCCUCUCCCCGAAGUGCUUCUAGUGCUCCCUGGACUGAGCUGCACCUACUUUGGAAACAAGUAAUUACAGUUCCACUGAAAUAAACAGGGAUAUACUGAUUUCUAGUGGCUGAAUAUCAGCUCAUUCUUUGCAUAAAUAAAUGCAAAAGACUGAAUUGUCUGGCCCAGUCUGUCAGGUUUGUAGCUUGAAUGAAGAACUUAAGGAUGGAUGGAAAGCAGGUAGAAGCAGACUUGUAGCUACAUGAAGGAAUUCUUUAUUGGAAGAAAGCUGGAGAAAGCCUGCACCUUCUGCAGUAUUUUGCCCAGCUACCCUCUUGCCACACUGAUUUGUACCUGUAGUGGAUAUCUCAGGUACAGGACUUCACCCUCUUCACUCAAGUAGAGCAGAUCUCCAGUAAGAUAUCUGUACAUGUGCACAUAUAUGUGCCGAGAGAGAGUGACUGCUUAUUCACGUGUGUGUUUUGCAUGACAGAAGGGUCAGAAGCGAUGAUAGUACUUUGUCAUAAAUGAUAAAGUACAGUUACACUAGGGAAAGAAAAGGUUGGUAAUGCCUGGUUGAUCUAUUCUUUCUCUGCAUAUUUAUGUGUGUUAUGAGACCUGAGUGAGUUUUGACUGAUUGUUUUGUCCUCACUUACUCCAGUGUGACUCCAUCAGCUUCUCUUGUACUGAACCAAUAUAACCAAGCACAGCACUAAAUGAAUAUUAGUUCCCAUGCUUUGUUAUACAUAUGUGAUGCAGAGCAGAAACAAACUGAUCCUGAGGCCAAACAUGUGGUACAGAUUGUGGUUACAAAAAUCAGUGAUGAAGGCAGCAUCCUCCAAUUACUCCAGUGGUUUCUGGUAAAUCUUUUUUCUUCUCCUUCUAAAAAAAUAAAAUUAUUAAUAAAAUUAUUAUGAAACACUCCAUUCCUAUUCACAUCCUGAGCAGUGAACCAAUAGCCAGAGACUUUUCUUAACACUGGUGAAAAUUUACAUUAUCAAUCACCUUUUUUCUGAGGGGAGUGUUUUGGCUCUUGCCAGACACGAAGGUGUCUACAGCUCUGCUGGUGCCCUGUGCUGCACAGGCUGCCCAUGAGUGUGCUGCCACGUUCACUGAGAGGAGCUGCCUGCAGAAGUGAAGUCUUGAUGCAUAUACGAGGUCUGGGAUUUUUUUUUCUUUGACUAUGUUUUAAAGCUAACCACAGUUCCCUGCACAACCUGAACUCGGUGUUCACAGCAUGCCUCGAUGUCCUUUCUGUGUGACUCAGUGUGUCAAAAUCUAGGCUGGUGCGUGCAGCCUUGCUUUCCCCUAGUGCCUGGCUCACAGUGCCAGCAUCCAUGGGGAUGGAGGUCCUUGCUGCUGGUGUUCAAAGCCACAUGUGGGUCUCUGCUGCUGCACAGCAAGAGGUUGUCAGGAGUCUGACAACAAUAGCACAGAAAUGUGCUAUUUGUGGCUCUGGGACUCAUUGCUUCAAAAUGUCAUGGAGAUAAAGAAUUUAGCAAGAUUCAAAUUUGGGUUCAGUGUUACAUGAAAAUGGGACUGUUGAGGAAUAAAUAAUCAGAAUAGUAUUUGGUUAGGUUGCAAAGUGCCAAGUUUUGAAGAUUUAAACCAGUCUUCAUGAGCUUGCAGGAUGUCUCUGCGUGGAACUAUUUAUCCUGACAGAAGUUUCUUGCAAAUGCUCCUAAACCACCACUGUCGGAGUCAGCCUAUGUGGUCUGCUUAAGCUGACCACUGGCCCGAUUGAUUUUUAGGUACUAAACAACAGAAACUAAGGUUGUUAUCAGAGAUUAACCAAUGAUACAAAACUGUGACCACAAUGAAUGUGACAGACAGGAUGUGCAAUUGCAGCAGAGAAAGCAAAACCACUUUCAUGAAAAAUAAAAUGUGCCAACCAAGAAAUGACUCAAUCUUUGCAGCAUUUCAAUAAAAAUAUCUUUGACACUCUGCAUGCACCCACCUACAUUCAUAUAUACUGUGAGUAGCUUAAGAAGUUUAAGCUUGUCUCACAAUCUCAGGUCAAUAGGAAAUCACGCAUUAAAGGAAAAAAUGCUAAACAUGAUUUCAGCACUUUUGAAGGGUGUUGUGCUGGCAUGCCCUCAUAGCAAAGUGCUUUGGUAUCUGGAGAGCAAGCACAAAGUGGAUGCAUAGGUGUCCCUACACUGACAUGGUAAUGUGCCUCACUCAGGUCCCAGAAGACUGUCCCACCUAAGGGUGAGAUUUUUUUUGCUGAGAGGACCAGGCAGUACCCACUGUAGCCCAUGAUGUGACAGAUCACCCUCCCCCACACCCAGGCUGAGCUUGCAUGUGCUCCCAUCAGAUACUGGGCAACUGUCAGGUACCAGCCCCCUCCACUUGGGCUGGAUCAUCUUUAUCUUAGGGACCCAGGGAGCUGUUUGCAUCCCAUUUCUAAUGCCUUGAAAAAAACCCUUCUCUUUGCAUAGCUGCCACAGCAAUGUCAGUUCCCCACACUCCCCCAGGGCUUGCUCGGCAGCACUGCAUGCUGCCUUGGUGCUCUCAGUGCGCCCUGAUACCAAGCUGAUUCACACAUUGCAGCUGUUGGCCCCUCCAUCUGAUGGCCAGCAGCAUUCACCAUUGUCUGUCUCAUCCCAGUGACGUUCCCUCUGCCAGGCUGUAGCUCCAGGAACACAGGUGGACAGGGACUCUGCACCAGCUGGGGACCUACAAGGAUGUUUCUGCAGCAAAGAGCCACAGAGGCUGCCAGCUCCUGGCAGCAGAGGAGAGCUUGGCAUUGAUGGCCAUCACCCAGCCGUGGCCAGAGUGCCUACAGCCUCACCAUCCAAGGCCUGGUGAAAACACUCCACAAGUGGGUCUAGAUGAAUGCCAAAGGACAGAAGCAUUGCAGAAGCUCAAAUGGAGAAAACACAUCCUGUUUAUUAUCACAGCUCUCAGUAACAUCAAGAGCUGAAUUUCAGCUUUUUACUCCAGCCUUCAUCUCUGCUGUCGUGCUUGUUCUCAUCUUACCGUAAAGUUGUGUUUCUUCCCUCAGUAUACUUGUGACUCUUAUUAUUGCACUGCCUGCUUACCAGCUCAGUAGAUAGAGUCCAGAAGCCUGCUGAAUUAGGUGACAUUUGUAAUCUCUUGGAAUGUCUUGGGGUUAAGCUGAAAAUGCUGAUCUAUAACUGUGCGUGCUCCAGGGGAAAUAUUAGCAAAUCUGAUGCAAUGCUAAUAAAACAUAAUGAUUGUUAUUAUUAUGCUUUGGGUGUGUUGUAAUAAAGCCACAACAUUGUUUUAUUGGGAAAAAAAUUCAACCCCCAAAUGUAUGAUUUCAUUCCUGUAUAGUAACAUUUCUGUAAUUAAUAUUUCAAACUUCUAUGAGGUCUUCCUCUGAGGAUACAAAGUAUUUCACAGAUACUAAUUAAACAAGGUCUUAUUCAGCAAUCUCUAUCCAUAUAAGUACUCUUGUUGGCUUUCCAUCUGCAAGGAAUUUUGCACUUUUCUCUGAACUUAAUGCAUUUGAUUAUUCCCACUUUACUAAUGUAAAAAAUGAGACACACAGGAGUUACAUGAUUUACUCAAGACAAAAGGAAGAACUAGUGAUAUCUGAAAAUAGGUAUUCUGAAGCAGAGUCCUGUGCUUUUAUUAGAAAAUGGUGUGGCAACAUUCAUAGGAUCUCCAAAUGUAUCAAAGGGGUGCACAGGGCUUUGCAAGAAAACCCAGGAAUGUGGGAGGGAAGGGAAUUGCAGUGUGCUUGGUGUGAAUUGAUGGGGAACCACCUGCAAUGUUCAUAGCUGCUGGGACCUUGAGCCCCAACAUCUUUUUUUCUAAUCAAGUGGUCCAUCCUGGGAGACAUAGGCACCCUUGCCUUUGCCAAGUGUGACUCUGCAUCACAGUAUUGGCAUUUUUCCUUGAGUUCAGUGGGACAUUAAGCAGGCUGUAAGGGUGCCAAGGGUGUGGAUCGAAUAAGAGACUGCCACAAAGGCAAGCAAAAGGGUUAAAUAUGUGAGAUAUUCACUCCUGUGUUUAAGCCAAGGCUGGUUAAUAUAGGGGAAAAAAGUGCUGGGUGUUGUUUAAAAGUUGUGGAGGGUUGGCUGACAUGUUGUCAAGGGCAUAAGAGUUUCACACCCUCUUGGUGAUGACAUCCAAGGCUCCUUUACCUGCCACAGUAACUGCUGAAUGUCCUUAACUUUGGACAAAACAAUAGCCCUAGCACUAGUUAUGAGGGGCAGAUGGGUUUGUGGGCAGCAGGGAAGGGGGACGUGUCACGUACUGGCCAUCCUGUUGUGCCGAAGUAAGUUGGAUGGAGAAGCAAGCAUGGAAAGGGAAUGACGCUGGUCCUGAAAGACACUACAAGCAAAGCAGGUGAGUUGCAAGGGAUCACAUAUUAGUGGAUGAUGCGGUCUUGUUAAAUUGGUUCCUUUCAAGAUUGUUCUUGCUAAGCCUUAGAUGGGAGUGUUUAUGCACUGACAGGGUGGGUACAGCUAGCCUGAGGAUCAACAAGGUACUCAAAAGGUAAACCAGACCCAUUGCAAUCUAGGUUUUAUUCUUUUUACAUGCAAUGUUUUGCCAUGGCAAAUAGUGAAGCAGGAACUGAAGGAAAAAGCAUAGGCAUCAUUGUGAUGGUGUAUUAUAGCUUCCCUUCAUUUGUCAUACUAGCUGGACAAGUACACAGAAACCUUCCCAAACUAUUAUCCCCACGUUCCAGUUAAUCCAAGUGUCAGUUCUCCUGUAUGUGCCUGACUGUUUUCUUCUAGCUCACCCCUGGAUCAGUGCUAUCUCUGCCUUGGCCAGCUUGCCCUCUGCCACAUGUGGGGAAGGUGGCUACCAUUUCACGUUUAUGGCCUUGAGGAGUCUGUCGUUCACAUUUACAUGGUGUAAGAGCAGCUUUUUUUCCACUAGUAAGCUCUUACAAAUACUACUUGGAACAAGUUCACAGCUGCUUUUGUCAUCUUUUGGAAUCCUGAAGUCUCAAACUUGCAGCCUUAAAAACACACGAACCACUCUAAAACACCAGUAACUACCCAUGUAAUGUUUGGUCACGUUGUUUAACAAGCAGAAGCUAAAAGAAAAGUAAAUGGACCUCCCUUCUCCUUGAGUAAAUAAAACUCUCCAGGACAACGUAUUUUACUUCAAAAUUAUAUGGCAAGGGGUUUUUUUCUUCUUUAGGUUCCAGAAACAUGUCCAUAUAUGGUCUACUUGUCAGGGACAAUAAAUAAUGAUGUAAUAGAAAGGUCAGCUUUGUGUCAUUUAGCUACAGGAUGCUUGAUGAAGUGAAGUUCUUCAGAUAAUGCAACAAAGAAGAACUUUAGGAUGGGUAAAAGUUUCUGCCGUUCAUCUUCAAACAGGAAAUCUGAGAUUCAGAACAACUUAUAUUUUGGCUUGUAUUCGCUGAUCAUGGGGUGAUCCAGAAAUAAACUCCGGGCUUCAAAGCGAGAGUGUUUCAAAGCUGUCCUGCAGUUGAUCGAAACAUCCAGGCAAAGCAGGGAGACGAAUACCAGCACGGAUUUUCUGAAUUAAGACUUAAUCAAGGAGAUAACCCAUUUCAGCAGUAUUAUUGCCCUUUUAUUUC
Falco peregrinus (peregrine falcon) is the source of this 15505-nucleotide long non-coding RNA. RefSeq lists it as uncharacterized. The transcript has 4 exons. The record is from RefSeq and is a predicted model, not a curated record. NCBI's taxonomy places the organism in Eukaryota, Metazoa, Chordata, Aves, Falconiformes, Falconidae.